UGGACCGGUGGCAGAGCGGUUGAUUGCGCUUCACUGAAAAUGAAGUAGGCCUCGAAAGGGGUCUCGUGGGUUCGAAUCCCAUCCGGAUUGA
RNAcentral lists this transfer RNA (91 nucleotides) under Mycoplana rhizolycopersici. Its description in RNAcentral is "tRNA-Phe". It matches the Rfam family "tRNA". Rfam says of the family: Transfer RNA (tRNA) molecules are approximately 80 nucleotides in length. Their secondary structure includes four short double-helical elements and three loops (D, anti-codon, and T loops). The record is from RNAcentral. Lineage: Bacteria; Pseudomonadati; Pseudomonadota; Alphaproteobacteria; Hyphomicrobiales; Rhizobiaceae.